This 201-nucleotide unclassified non-coding RNA is filed under the name Hevea brasiliensis (rubber tree). Lineage: Eukaryota; Viridiplantae; Streptophyta; Magnoliopsida; Malpighiales; Euphorbiaceae. The record is from RNAcentral.
GCGAUCGGAUUCGAGGAGGAGGAGCGAUGUCGGCUGGAGGGGAGGAGGACAGGAAGCCGUCGGCCGCCGCUGAUGCGGGGAAUCAUAUCAAUCUCAAGGUCAAGGGACAGGAUGGCAACGAGGUGUUCUUCAGGAUUAAGCGCCAGACGCAACUGAAGAAGCUUAUGAAUGCCUACUGUGACCGGCAGUCAGUGGACUUCA